GGGGAUGACUGGCUUCGACAGGUGUCGGUCGAUCCCGGGAGCGCGAGCCGAGUACGCCUGGUCACCUCGUAAAACUGCCCUGGCAACCUUCUAGGUGCCGAAGACAACUUCGCCCUGGCGGCCUAACUAGCCCGCCUGUCCGCCCUCACUUGCCUGGAGUGAGGGGUCGGGCAUCGCAUCCAGGCUCCACCUGACCGUCGCCGCCACCGGCGUCCGGGGACACCUUUGUGGCGUACGGCUGCCACGCGGUUCGGUCCGAGGCCCGGCAGCCCGACAAUCCAUCGGAACCUACGCUCGUAGGGCUUUCGGAGUCGAGGCAUCUGGACCCGGGUUCGACUCCCGGCAUCUCCACCG
RNAcentral lists this transfer-messenger RNA (354 nucleotides) under Actinomycetota bacterium. It matches the Rfam family "transfer-messenger RNA". From Rfam's summary of the family: Bacterial tmRNA, also known as 10Sa RNA or SsrA, is named for its dual tRNA and mRNA-like properties. Its role is to liberate the mRNA from a stalled ribosome. The record is from RNAcentral. Lineage: Bacteria; Bacillati; Actinomycetota.